This is a non-coding RNA of Lolium perenne, 3099 nucleotides long. The record is from RefSeq and is a predicted model, not a curated record. Lineage: Eukaryota; Viridiplantae; Streptophyta; Magnoliopsida; Poales; Poaceae.
CUCUCUCCAAAUCGACAAGCCGCCGCCGGCAUCCCCUCCUUCCAAGCGCCGCCCCAUCCUUGCAGAGGAAAGAGGAGGCGCCGCGCAGCAGCCACCCUGGCGGCGCGACUGGCCUGAUUGCCGACGCCGCGUGCGUCGAUUCGACGGCGCGCGCGGCUCCGUCGAUCAAGCCGGUCUGCGUCGUGCGCGUGGACGAGGGAGCGCGGUGCGGUGCUGCACGCAGCCGCGGGGCCACCGGGAGGUCGGGCUGCUCGUCCCGGAUACGCCGCCGUCCAUGGGUUUGUCGACGUCGGAUUCAAAGGUUUUCGCCAUGGCCGGCAAGGGAAGCCCGGAGAGCCUACAGAACGAGUAUUACCACGUGAUCCGCUAGGCAAUCCGGUGUGAUUUGAUUCUGUUGAUGUUCAUUUCGGGUUUUGGGCGUUCCAUGGCAUUUGGCGCCAUGGCCAGAGGAAUCCCCCACCGCCGUCGCUCCAUUUCAACGCUCCCCCACCCUCUCCUCCGCAUCUCCAGCCGACGUGGGGAGCGGCAUGCCUCCAAUGAGAUAUGUCGGGAGCUGCAGCCAUCCUUGGGGAGUAGCUGGACAGCAGCAAGGUGUGCAGGUCACCGCCGUCUUCCAAGAAGAGCUUGCAGAAGCUAUCCCUUGGAUCAUCUACACUAGGGGCCUAGGAGGUCACGGCCAUUGUCGCCAAGAGAGUGCGCCGUGCCGGAGUGAAGUUUCAUGUCUAUCUUGCAAGAGCUAGCAACUGACCUUUCCAUAGCACUACUGUAUAUGCGAUACGCUACAGAUUAUUAAGCGAAACCAAUUAAGGUGUAAGGUUGAUAGGCCGCCGGCGGCUUCCCCCACCGCCCCUCCUCCCAAGCUACACCCCAUCCUCGCAGACGAUAGAGGAGGCGCCGUGCAUACAGCAGAAGCUAUGGUGGCGCGACUGGCCUGCUCGUCGACGAGCCGUGCGUUGAUUCGGCGUCGCCGCGUGGCUCCGUCGAUCACGCUGGUCUGCGCCGUGCACGUCAACGAGGGAGCACCACGCGGUGCUGCACGCAGCCGUGGGACACUGGCGACCAGGAGGUUGACCUGCUCAUCCCGGAGACGCCACCUUUCCAAGGGCUUGUCAGCGUCAGCUUCAAAGGGUUUCGCCAUGGCCGGCAAGCGCAGCCUGGAGAGUCUCCAAAACGAGUAGCAGCACAUGAUCCGCAAGAGCUGCCGGUGCUGGUCGUGGCUCGCCCUCUUGCCUAGCUACAUGUUGGAGUGGUGCAGCUAUUUGUUAAUUGAUGAGAGCGGUGGCCUUAGCCGGGUUGUCCUGCUACAGCGCGAGGAGCGACAGAAGGGCUAGAUCAACAUCCGCCACCCAUAGAUCAUCUAGGUGCAGGCAGGUUUUGGGAGAGGCUUCCAACGAGCAUCUUGUAGCAGCUGAAAAGGUCAAGGUCGUCUUGCUUUCAUUGAAAAUUCUCCCUGCUUGAAAUGCUCACUUCAGGUAGGUAAGCUACCAUUACCCGCUGCCAAACGAGCAAGCAAUAACAUGGUCCGUUAUUCUCGUUGAUUCAAAAUCAUGAUUACUUGAUGCAUGUAUGCUUGGAUAUGACCAGAAAGGCUUAUUCUUUCUUUUUUCUACAACAUUCCAUCUGUAAAAAAAUAUUGGAAACUCGUCAUGUAAGUUUGUUCGUAAAGUUUCAUUUUUUCUUGUUGUUGAUAUUUGUACAUAUAGGCAUUGCAUCUAGGAUGCUUUUGUUUCUUCAUUUGUUUGAUGCUUAGUUAGUUAUACAUAUGAAAUGCCAAAGCCUGCGUAUACAUUUUCAGGUUCAGAGCAUCAUACCGGUGUGCAUGCCGGCACCAUGGAUCUGGAGGCUGUUGGGGAAGCAUACCCGCUGCUGAAGUAGAAGAGGUAGGAGCUGUUGAGGAAGGGAGAAGGAAGAGCAGUCCCUGGACUACAAUGGUGCAGUCCUGCAUCAGCAAGUUCGUUCUGAUCGUAGGUACAUAUCCACUGUCUUGGCUGGACAUUGUAGCAGCAGUGCUGGUCCUCAAGGUUUGUGUGGUAUGCAUCUCGGUUACGACAGCUUGAUCUGCAAGGUUUUGCCUCAAAAGGGCAACAUGUAGUGCCUCCAGAAGGAGUACCACAUGAUCUGCAAGGAGCCGCCGUUGCUGAUCGUUGCUCACUCGCUUUCCUAGCGACAUAUUACAUGACAGGGUUCCAAUAAUUUGAGUGGCGUAGGUUGUUUCCACUGCUUGAUUGCACCUGUAUAUUUACGAUUUAGUGUCGCUUAGUUUGAUGGAAAGUAUUAUGUGCUUUGGAAGUGAGUAUUGUGAUUGGUGAUCCGGUAUUGUGCUAACCGUUGAUGGAAGUGUUAUUUAGGUCCUCUGUGUUCUCAUUGUUUCAGUAUAAUGCAUACUGCAUGAUGCAUACAUGGUUUGCUGGGAUUAGGAAUAUUCUUUGUAUUUAAUUAUCUUUGUUCAAAAUAUUGGAACCCUGUCAUGUAAUAUUUGGUUGAUAAAGGUUGCUUGUUUUGGGAGAAUAGCUCCAUUACUUUACAUUUCUCUACUUCUGGUUUAAAAAUAGCAUAAUAACAAAAAUUGGCUACUACUAGAUGAUAAAAUAAGUUUAUGUUUGAUUCGAACAUGAAACAAUGUACUCAAUGCCAAUCCUGUUUGAUCUAGUUUUUUGUUACUUGGUUCUUUUUGCCCUGAAUUAACAUAUGUUUAUCUCUUGCGAGUUGUGCUAUUCCUAGGAGAUUUCACGGGCUGCCUAAUCAUCCUAGCCACGGAUGGUGGUGUUGACUCAAUGUGUUUGGAGCUGGCAGCGAUGCUUUGCCCCUGUUCGAGGAUAAAUGACAAGGCAGCAGCUGGAGCGUUGAGGCUGAUGCAUCAAUUGACAAGGAAGAACACAGGGACAAGGAUACGUCAGCAUCAGGCAGCACCUAGCCUGUGAUGUAUAUAGUUGCAAAGCAUGUGUUUUGCUAUAAUAGCUGCUGUCCCAGGUUGCAUAAGCUGUGUUGUAUAAGCCUUUGGCUUUGUUUUAUUUCCUGUGUGAUGUGAGUGUGUAAAAGCUGGAAAGGCUUGGCACAGUUUCUUGCUGAUUAUAUUCACUUUAAUUUUUGAUUGUUUGA